RNAcentral lists this unclassified non-coding RNA (373 nucleotides) under uncultured Gammaproteobacteria bacterium. RNAcentral describes it as "contains 16S-23S intergenic spacer region". Lineage: Bacteria; Pseudomonadati; Pseudomonadota; Gammaproteobacteria. The record is from RNAcentral.
UCCGGUUUAUCACCGGCAGUAUCAUUAGAGUGCCCAACUGAAGGAUGGCAACUAAUGACAAGGGUUGCGCUCGUUGCGUCACUUAAGACAACAUCUCACGACACGAGCUGACGACAGCCAUGCAGCACCUGUGUCCAAGUUCCCGAAGGCACUGCCACAUCUCUGUAGCAUUCUUGGCAUGUCAAGAGCAGGUAAGGUUUUUCGCGUUGCAUCGAAUUAAUCCGCAUCAUCCACCGCUUGUGCGGGUCCCCGUCAAUUCCUUUGAGUUUUAAUCUUGCGACCGUACUCCCCAGGCGGUCUACUUCUCGCGUUAGCUUCGCUACUUAGGUUUUACCCCCAACAGCAAGUAGACAUCGUUUAGGGCGUGGACUAC